UAACACAUGCAAGUCGCACGGGGGCUUCGGCUCGAGUGGCGGACGGGUGAGUAACGCGUAGGAACGUGUCUUGGGGUGGAGGAUAACGCUGGGAAACUGGCGCUAAUACCGCAUGUCUGCUGCGGCAGAAAGCCUUCGGGUGCCUUGAGAGCGGCCUGCGUCCGAUUAGCUUGUUGGUGGGGUAAUGGCUUACCAAGGCGUCGAUCGGUAGCUGGUCUGAGAGGACGAUCGGCCACACUGGGACUGAGACACGGCCCAGACUCCUACGGGAGGCAGCAGUGGGGAAUAUUGGACAAUGGGCGCAAGCCUGAUCCAGCAAUUCCGCGUGGGUGAAGAAGGUCUUCGGAUUGUAAAGCCCUUUCGACAGGGACG
RNAcentral lists this ribosomal RNA (372 nucleotides) under uncultured bacterium. Its description in RNAcentral is "bacterial SSU rRNA". It matches the Rfam family "Bacterial small subunit ribosomal RNA", at positions 49 to 447 of the family's 1533-position model. The record is from RNAcentral.